Molecule: non-coding RNA, 456 nt
Organism: Cinara cedri
Lineage: Eukaryota; Metazoa; Arthropoda; Insecta; Hemiptera; Aphididae
Source: the annotation of a GenBank genome assembly
CAAUUUAUUUAUUAAUCAUUAUGGUACUUAUGGAUAAACAAAUAUUUCAUGAGUUAAUCAAUACAAUUUUCCCUCUUGGGUUUAUGAUUUCCAAAGCGUCAGAUUUACUUAUAUCAUAUUUAGUCAUUUUAUACAUUAUAUCUGUGCAUAAAACCUAAACAGACUAAAACAUUUCUGGGCCAACUUGUUUUUCGUACCAUUGCCGCCAGCUGAUUUUUUUGUUUUUUAAUGUCAUAAUUAUUUUUGACAAAUAAAACUAUUUGAUUUAUUUUAAAAUCAGUACUAACCCACUUACAAUACCCUUAUUAUAACUUAAAACCUGAAUGAAAUUAAUGGUAUUGCAAUAGUGGAUACUCUUGUACGCACCUAUCACAGUCAUAAAAUAUAAAACGGAAUCUUAGUUUUGUCAUGAAUCUAACAAUAUAAUAGAUGUCAGGUAACAUACCUUCUGUAAUA